RNAcentral lists this ribosomal RNA (300 nucleotides) under uncultured Anaerostipes sp. Its description in RNAcentral is "partial 16S ribosomal RNA". The stretch from base 52 to 300 matches the Rfam family "Bacterial small subunit ribosomal RNA", at positions 547 to 795 of the family's 1533-position model. Lineage: Bacteria; Bacillati; Bacillota; Clostridia; Lachnospirales; Lachnospiraceae. The record is from RNAcentral.
GAUAACGAGAUGGAAAGAGCAGGAGGAAUAGGAUGGGUGGAAGGGGUAAUCGGGAUUACCGGGGGUUAAGCGCGGGUAGGGUGGUUCGUAAGGUGGAAGGGGAAGCCCCGGGCUCAACCUGGGAACUGCGUUCAAAAGUGCUGAGCUAGAGUACGGUAGAGGGUGGUGGAAUUUCCUAGGUAGCGGUGAAAUGCGUAGAUAUAGGAAGGAACACCAGUGGCGAAGGCGACCACCUGGACUGAUACUGACACUGAGGUGCGAAAGCGUGGGGAGCAAACAGGAUUAGAUACCCCGGUAGUC